Juglans microcarpa x Juglans regia is the source of this 329-nucleotide long non-coding RNA. RefSeq lists it as uncharacterized. The record is from RefSeq and is a predicted model, not a curated record. NCBI's taxonomy places the organism in Eukaryota, Viridiplantae, Streptophyta, Magnoliopsida, Fagales, Juglandaceae. The transcript is spliced from 2 exons.
CGCGCCAAGAAGUUUCCGUUAAUUGAAAGACGGCUAACGAGGUCAAAUGAUGAAAAUUCACUGCGACCGGUCUUAUUACUUCACCCCAAACUUCGACAUGAGAGGAGAGGAGAUAUGAGAAAAAAGUUGUCUAAAAUACCAAUACAAUCUGCUCCUUUUCAGUUCACACUGUCUAGUUCUCUCUCUCUUUCUCCCUCCCUCCCACACGAGACAUUGCUGAAUUCCGCUGGAUUUUAACACUUUCCUCAUCAUCUGCUGAAAAAAACCACAUUUUCCCACCUACUAUCACUCCCCCAACACACUCUAAGUCCUUUGAAUUCGAUUUCAAU